Molecule: ribosomal RNA, 412 nt
Filed under: Acinetobacter baumannii
Lineage: Bacteria; Pseudomonadati; Pseudomonadota; Gammaproteobacteria; Moraxellales; Moraxellaceae
Description: partial 23S ribosomal RNA
Rfam family: Bacterial large subunit ribosomal RNA
Source: RNAcentral
UGGCACCUCGAUGUCGGCUCAUCUCAUCCUGGGGCUGAAGCAGGUCCCAAGGGUAUGGCUGUUCGCCAUUUAAAGAGGUACGCGAGCUGGGUUUAGAACGUCGUGAGACAGUUCGGUCCCUAUCUACCGUGGGCGCUGGAAAUUUGAGAGGAUCUGCUCCUAGUACGAGAGGACCAGAGUGGACGAACCUCUGGUGUACCGGUUGUGACGCCAGUCGCAUCGCCGGGUAGCUAUGUUCGGAAGGGAUAACCGCUGAAAGCAUCUAAGCGGGAAGCCUACCUCAAGAUAAGAUUUCCCUAGGACUUUAUGUCCUCUAAAGAGCCGUUCGAGACUAGGACGUUGAUAGGUUGGAUGUGGAAGCAUAGUGAUAUGUGAAGCUGACCAAUACUAAUUGCUCGUGAGGCUUGACUAU